This 85-nucleotide transfer RNA is filed under the name Alphaproteobacteria bacterium. RNAcentral describes it as "tRNA-Leu". It matches the Rfam family "tRNA". Rfam says of the family: Transfer RNA (tRNA) molecules are approximately 80 nucleotides in length. Their secondary structure includes four short double-helical elements and three loops (D, anti-codon, and T loops). The record is from RNAcentral. Lineage: Bacteria; Pseudomonadati; Pseudomonadota; Alphaproteobacteria.
GCGGUCGUGGCGGAAUUGGUAGACGCACUACCUUGAGGUGGUAGCGGGGCGACCCAUGGAAGUUCGAGUCUUCUCGACCGCACCA